CUACGGGUGGCACCAGUGGGGAAUAUCGCACAAUGGGCGCAAGCCUGAUGCAGCCAUGCCGCGUGUAUGAAGAAGGCCUUCGGGUUGUAAAGUACUUUCAGCGGGGAGGAAGGGAGUAAAGUUAAUACCUUUGCUCAUUGACGUUACCCGCAGAAGAAGCACCGGCUAACUCCGUGCCAGCAGCCGCGGUAAUACGGAGGGUGCAAGCGUUAAUCGGAAUUACUGGGCGUAAAGCGCACGCAGGCGGUUUGUUAAGUCAGAUGUGAAAUCCCCGGGCUCAACCUGGGAACUGCAUCUGAUACUGGCAAGUUUGAGUCUCGUAGAGGGGGGUAGAAUUUCAGGUGUAGCGGUGAAAUGCGUAGAGAUCUGGAGGAAUACCGGUGGCGAAGGCGGCCCCCUGGACGAAGACUGACGCUCAGGUGCGAAAGCGUGGGGAGCAAACAGGAUUAGAUACCCCAGUAGUC
Molecule: ribosomal RNA, 464 nt
Filed under: uncultured bacterium
Lineage: Bacteria
Description: partial 16S ribosomal RNA
Rfam family: Bacterial small subunit ribosomal RNA
Source: RNAcentral